Molecule: long non-coding RNA, 712 nt
Organism: Scatophagus argus
Lineage: Eukaryota; Metazoa; Chordata; Actinopteri; Scatophagidae
Exons: 3
Source: RefSeq, a predicted model, not a curated record
GGCAUCUAAUAAUUACAAACAGAAUGCUUUAAUGGGAAAGAUUACAUUUAGCCAUUAGUGCACAUUGAGUAUUCUGGAGAAAAAAUAUAAAAAAUAAAGAAAUAAUUAUACACAUGUUGUCUCACACACACACACACACACACACACACACACACACACACACUGACACACACACAUACACACACACACAAUGUAUAAUUUAUUGGGUAAUAACUAUCACUGUUGUCAUGUAAGGGAAUUGAUUAGGAAUUUAUUUUGAUGUGGAAAUGGUUGAUGAAGAAACAUUAUACAAAUUUGUCCAUUUGCGUAUUGAGAUCACUUCGAGGUCAAAGGUCACAGUUCCGGCUAUUCGGUCUCUUUUCUUCGGAUUGAGUUCAGGUGACCACGCACAUUCACGGGGUUCAAGACAACCAUGCGCAGUUUAACUACAUUGAUAAAGCAUCCGACGAAGACCAGCCGAUGAAACUACCUACGGCGAACCAAAGAAGUCUAUUUGCUCCUGAUGCGCUUUCGGAUGUUACGGAGGCGCUCCUCCAGGAAGCCGGUAGCAGGAUGGCCUCUUCUUCCCUUGGCAAACCAGGUGUCCUACAAUGAAUUGAGCAUGUUUAACAGGAUCUACAUCCCUGGUUCCAAGGACUACAUUCUUCCAAUACUUACAGUACCACUGCUGGAUGAGUCUUUGAGGCAUGGGAAUGCGAGCACCAGAGAAGAU